CAACCUAUCUUUUUCGCCCGGGAUAACUAGCCGAAAGGUUAGCUAAUACCUGAUACGAUCAUCGAGUGGCAUCACUUGAUGAUGAAAGCAGCAAUGCGCGGAUUGAGGGGGCUGCGGCCCAUUAGCUAGUUGGUGAGGUAACGGCCCACCAAGGCAACGAUGGGUAGCUGGUCUGAGAGGACGACCAGCCACACUGGGACUGAGACACGGCCCAG
Molecule: ribosomal RNA, 215 nt
Filed under: uncultured bacterium
Lineage: Bacteria
Description: partial 16S ribosomal RNA
Rfam family: Bacterial small subunit ribosomal RNA
Source: RNAcentral